UGCCUGAAAUGGAUAUUCAGAAACCCAUCUCUUUGAAAUGAAAACAGCAAGAUCGAUAAUGGCGGCAUGUCAUCAUUGCUGUGCUGUAUAAGUCGCUAAAGGUUUACUGACCCAAAUAACAUCAAAGCGACGAAACAAAGAAACUUAUACGCACACAAUUACCAUCUGACACAGCAAGCAUUGAAGACAUCUGAGGAUUACAUUACUUCUUCCUGAGCAACCAGCUGUCUAUCACAAGCCUUAAACAUCCCUACUUAUCUCAGGACGGUUGUGUUUCUGAGUCACGAUAUAUUUUGUGCUACGUCAUACUCUGUCCAUCUGAUCAUAUCUGAGCGAGCUGAUUCCACGGCUGUCUUUUCGUGAUACGUGCCUUGCACCCGACUUUGGCGGCCGCGAGUGUCCGCUCCAGUUGGCACCGGCUGUCUGCACUCCUAGUUACACACUCAUCAUGUCCCACAAUCCUCAGUGGAACUCGUUCCAGCCGCCAUCCCAGCCCGGCAUGAAAUCCUACUCCAACUACCACUCGGCCAACAGUGGCUACCACGGCUCCUACCACGGCUCGUCCCACUCGCCGCCGGGACCGCGCUACGGCGGCGGCGGUGGCGGCUCGGCGCACUACGCCAGCCAGACGAGCGACUCGGGAGGCGGCGGCGGCGGCGGCGGCGGUGCCGAGUUCGACAUCGGCGUCUUCUCCGUGGGCACCUUCUCGGCCGGCGGCGGCCACAAGAACGGCUAUGGUGUCAACGGCUUCCCGGGAAAGGAGGGGAGCCCCAGCCACGCCGGCCACGGCCUCCGCGAGACGGGCAUCAUCGAGAAACUACUGCACUCGUACGGUUUCAUCCAGUGCUGCGACAGACAGGCCCGGCUGUUCUUCCACUUCAGCCAGUUCGACGGCACCAUCGAGCACCUGCGCGUCGGAGACCCUGUCGAGUUCGAGAUGACCUACGACAAGCGCACCGGCAAGCCCAUCGCCUCGUCCGUCUCCAAGAUCACACCGGAGGUGACGCCCCAGGUGCUGAGCGAGGAGCGCGUCACGGGCACGGUGACCACGGAGCUGACGGCCGGCGCGCCCGCUCAGCACGGCCGCAUCAGCUACGAGAACCGCGGCGAGUGCUUCUUCCUUCCGUACGACCAGGAGGACAUCGAGGGCAAUGUGACGCUGCGCGUCGGCGACCUGGUCAGCUUCCAGAUGGCCACCAACCCGAGAACGGGUAACCUGGCGGCGCGCUGCGUGCGUCUGGAGAACCCGGCCAACCCGAUCCACUACCAGGGUAUGGUGUGCUCGCUGCAGCCCGACGAGCGCAGCGGCUUCAUCGAGCGCGCCGACGUGGUGCGAGAGAUCGUGUUCAGCAGCGACAGCGUGCAGGGCGACCGGCCCAUCACGCUGGGUGAUGAGGUCGAGUUCACCAUCCAGACGGUCCAGGGUAAGGAGGUGGCCACCAACAUCGUCCACCUGGAGGCCGGCACCGUCGUCUUCGAGGACGUCGACCCCACCGACGUCAAGGGACAGGUGCUGAAGGCGCUGGAUGAGGUCGGAGAUACCAAUGACCCGAUGCCGGGCCGUAUUCGGUACCGUGUCAAGGACACCUCGGAGGUGCAGGAGGUGCCGUUCGGCGAGCGCGACCUCAAGGGCAGCUUCACGCUGCGCCACGGCGACUGGGUGCAGUUCAACGUGGCCACCGACCGGCGCGACAAGCUGCAGCGUGCCACCGGCGUCUCGCUGCUCGACCAGUCGUUCCUCGUCUCCGGCGAGAAGCGCGAGCACGGCGUGCUGCUCUCGGUGAAGGAGCACAGCUACGGCUUCAUCCGCUGCGUUGAGCGCGACCAGAACCUGUUCUUCCACCUGUCGGAGAUGGUGGACCCCGAGCGCGGUCUGCAGAACAAGGACGAGGUCGAGUUCACCGUGGUGCCCGACCCCAAGAUCCCCUCGCGCCAGACGGCCAUCCGCAUCCUGCGCCUGCCGCCCGGCACCGUGCGCUUCGAGACGGUGGUGCAGGCCGGUCUGACGGGCACCGUCACUCGCGAGCCCUCCUCCAAGUUCUCGCGCUCGCCGGGCCGCGCGGCGGCCGCCAAUGGCAGCGGAGACAAGUCCAACGAGACGGGUCUGAUCACGUACGAGCUGGACGGCGCCACGGCCACGGUGACGUUCAGCCACACGGCGACCGACCCGCGCCACAGCCCGCGCCACGGCGACACGGUCCGGUUCAGCCUGAUGCAGUCGCGCCGCACCAAGGAGCUGUGGGCCGCCGAGGUGGCCGUCACACAGCGCGCCGAGCGGCCCGAGAGAGCCGAGCGGGCCGAGCGGCCGGCCCGCGAGCCGCGCGACGCCGCCCUCGAGCCCGGCUCCAUCCACCAGGGAUACGUGACGGCGCUCAAAGACAGCUACGGCUUCAUCGAGACGCUGCAGCACGACAGAGAGAUCUUCUUCCACUACAGUAUGCUGCGCGGUGACCCGGAGAAGAUCCAGCUGGGUGACGAGGUACAGUACACGCUGAGCCGACCGGGCAGCCAGGGCCGCGUCUCGGCCGAGAACGUGACGCCGCUGCCGGCAGGCACGCUCUCCAAGCCAGCCGUGCUGCCCGAGGUGCUGGAUGGCAUUGUGCUGCGUCCGCUGCGCAGCUCCGACCCUGACCAGCCGCUCUACGCCGGCCUGGUGCAGGCCAACACCACAGAGGAGGUCGGCCAGGCGUACGAGUUCGGCAUCACGUCGCUGGCCAACAAGAAGGACUACCUGCAGGUGGGCGACUCGGUCACCUUCCAGGUGGAGGAGGGCGGCCAGCGCGCCACCAACAUCAAGAUCCAGCGCAAACGCUACCGCGCCACCGUCGACGCAUUCAAGAACCAGUACGGCUUCCUGUCGUACGAGCACGAGGCCGGCAAGAAGCUGUUCUUCCACGUGAGCGAGGUGAAGGACGGCGUGGCUCUGCGCGAGGGUGACGAGGUGGAGUUCUCAGUGGUGACCUCCCACCGGUCGGGCAAAUCGUCCGCCUGCCAGGUGGUGCGCAUCAGCAGCGCGGCUGAGGAGAAGAAGCGACACAACUCGUUCACGUCGCAGACGGAGCGGCCCGACCGCGUCAUCCAGCGUAUUCGCACGAUGGCGCUCAACGACCAGCGGCGGCCGCGCCAGGUACAGAUCGUGCGUCAGCCGCGCGGGCCCGACCAGGACGGCGGGCGCGGCUUCAGCGCGCGCCGUCCGGCCGCCUGAGUCGCCGCCGAGCCCCGACCGGCCGCCGCCGCCCGCCGCCUCUGCCGCCGCCGCCGCCGCCGCCGCCGCCCACUCCCACACAGCGUGCCUAGAUUCUGGUCUCAAACACAAACAGUGCUUUCCUGACUGUGAUGUUUGGGGGCGUUUGUAAGUUUGAGCAAUAUGCGAGGAUGGGCGGGCUGGGCGAGCGGGGCCGACCGAGCGCGCUGCCGGGCGUCGCCCGCGCCCCCUCUCAGUCACUGUGAGACCAGCGAGGUCGCCGCGUGGCCGGGCCGGUCCUGCCAGGCGGGACCGGCCCGGGGACCGCGCCGCACUCGACUCGCGCGCCCGCGAACUCACACGGACAGAGUGGACAGAUGAUGGACUUUGACAGACACACUGACAGUCGCAUUGACUUUUGACGCGCGCGAACUCUAUAUCCCCUCCGGCCGCGCGCCGGCGAGCCAGCGGCGCGCGGCUGUGACCGGGCCGAGGGCCGACUCCGCGCAGCCGCCGCCGCCGCCCGCCGCGCCGCCGCCGGCGGUUUAAGUUUGUAUUGUUUGUCUUCCAUGUGGCCAGCCGCGGCGCCCACAGUGCGUCGGCCAACGAGACGCCUCUCUUUUAUACGAAAUCCUCUGGUACAAGAUUCUGUGAUAUUUUGCCGUCGCCGCCGCCGCCGCCGCCGGCUGGGUGUCGGGUCAGCCGCUCGCAGCCGGGGGGCGGCGCGCGCGCGCGACCCCGGCCGACGCUCGGCACCAGUCGGCCGCCGCAGACGGACAGAGACGAACACACACACAUACACACACUCAGACACACACACAGCAGAGAGGCAGAGUAUCGCAGUCUCGGGUCCCAGGCGAGCUUAGGUUGCUGAGCGGCUGUAGCCGAUUCUGUUGCGUUGGGCAUUGCGGCCGCUGCUGAAUAAUGUCUGAAAUUCCCCGGCUCGCCGCGGCCGCCGGGCCGUACGGCGGCGAGCAGUAUGUUUUGUUGGCCGUCGGCGGCGCGGUCGGUGGCGGAGGUGACACAGCGGGACGGCUGCGUCCGACGCCGCCGACCAGCCCGCCACGGCCGGCGACGCCGCCGCGCAGCCGCGCACCACUGUGAUUACGUUGCUUCUAAUGUAGAACUUUAAAAACUAUUCCAAAGACAGAGAAGUCCGAGCCGACCGCCGUCAGCGUUUCGCUGCGCGGCGGCCGGCCGCCGGCGCGGCGCCCCGCCGGCCCGGCCACCUGUGUGCGCGUGAGCGCGCGCCCGCAACCGCCACCUGGCGCGCCCCAAUACUCGAGGGAACAAGAACAAUAUCGACACAGUCCCGUCCCCCCAUCUGUAUCUCCUCUACUUCUCACUGUCGUCUGCCUAUCCAGCACGGAAAUUGGCCAGGUGCCCGCCGCCCGGCGGCAGUCGGCGUCCGGUAGGGCCGAGCCGGCCCGCCGCCAGUCGUGGCUGAGCCGUUUCGUGUCAAAGAAAAUGCAAAAAAAUGAACUGUUUGUUUGGUAAUUUGUAACCUCAAGUCUGAACGAAUAAAGCUACUAAAAUCCUCA
This 4725-nucleotide unclassified non-coding RNA is filed under the name Amphibalanus amphitrite. RNAcentral describes it as "cold shock domain-containing protein E1-like, transcript variant X3". The record is from RNAcentral. Lineage: Eukaryota; Metazoa; Arthropoda; Thecostraca; Balanomorpha; Balanidae.